This 465-nucleotide ribosomal RNA is filed under the name Vreelandella stevensii. Its description in RNAcentral is "partial 16S ribosomal RNA". It matches the Rfam family "Bacterial small subunit ribosomal RNA", at positions 338 to 795 of the family's 1533-position model. Lineage: Bacteria; Pseudomonadati; Pseudomonadota; Gammaproteobacteria; Oceanospirillales; Halomonadaceae. The record is from RNAcentral.
CCUAUGGGUGGCAGCAGUGGGGAAUAUUGGACAAUGGGCGAAAGCCUGAUCCAGCCAUGCCGCGUGUGUGAAGAAGGCCUUCGGGUUGUAAAGCACUUUCAGUGGGGAAGAAAGCCUUGGGGCUAAUACCCUCGAGGAAGGACAUCACCCACAGAAGAAGCACCGGCUAACUCCGUGCCAGCAGCCGCGGUAAUACGGAGGGUGCGAGCGUUAAUCGGAAUUACUGGGCGUAAAGCGCGCGUAGGCGGUCUGAUAAGCCGGUUGUGAAAGCCCCGGGCUCAACCUGGGAACGGCAUCCGGAACUGUCAGGCUAGAGUGCAGGAGAGGAAGGUAGAAUUCCCGGUGUAGCGGUGAAAUGCGUAGAGAUCGGGAGGAAUACCAGUGGCGAAGGCGGCCUUCUGGACUGACACUGACGCUGAGGUGCGAAAGCGUGGGUAGCAAACAGGAUUAGAUACCCUGGUAGUC